Long non-coding RNA from Haliotis rubra (blacklip abalone), 417 nucleotides. RefSeq lists it as uncharacterized. NCBI's taxonomy places the organism in Eukaryota, Metazoa, Mollusca, Gastropoda, Lepetellida, Haliotidae. The transcript is spliced from 4 exons. The record is from RefSeq and is a predicted model, not a curated record.
UCUGAAUCUGUGACCAGCCAACGAUACAUGUUAGUUUAGCACACUGUUUGGAGAUUUGGACAGAAAUGCAGUUGCUUACUCUGAUCACUUGCUUCGCCUAUAUAUCCAACGCUGUUCACUCAAGAAGAUAUCAAGAAUGUCCCGAGGACUGGACAAAGGGCGAAUGAGAAGUGCUACAAGUUUCUUAAUGAACAUGUUGACUGGGAUGAUGCGUCUGGAAGAUGCAAACGACGCUUUUCUGCUGCACUUGCCGUGAUUGACAACAAAGAAGAGAACAAAGUCGUUGAAGAUCUUGCCCACGAUCACACGCACGCAUGGAUUGGUUUACGUCGCAGAUACGGACCGUUUGAGUGGAAUGAGAAUUCUAGGUUGCAGGUCAAAUAUGUUAACUGGCGGGGUGCUUCUCAACGAUACUUG